GUUACAAUUUCUACGAAUCCCUAUUAGGGAUUGAAAC
Tolypothrix campylonemoides VB511288 is the source of this 37-nucleotide non-coding RNA. Lineage: Bacteria; Bacillati; Cyanobacteriota; Cyanophyceae; Nostocales; Tolypothrichaceae. The record is from Rfam.